This is a long non-coding RNA of Drosophila innubila, 1351 nucleotides long. RefSeq lists it as uncharacterized. The record is from RefSeq and is a predicted model, not a curated record. Lineage: Eukaryota; Metazoa; Arthropoda; Insecta; Diptera; Drosophilidae. The transcript has 5 exons.
AUUUGAUUGACCAUGAAAAAUACAUGGAAAAUGUGCAUCGUCCUUAUUGGACUGGCUCUGUGCAGCAAAUCAUUGGUGUACGAGACAGUUAUGCCCGCGGAUGGAAAAGGAUGCGUUGGAUUUACAAGAGACUUGAAGGUCGGCGAAUCCGAGCAGGAUCCCAAGGUGUGUGGUAUAUUGGUGUGCAUGAACGUCGAUGGCACAGCUCUAAUCUAUUACUGUCAACAACCCGCGGGAUUUGCACAAUGUGCCAAUAACACCGUAAAUCUUGAGACCGACUAUCCGGAUUGUUGCUGGCAGUGCACUGAGGCGAUCCAAUGCCAUUGAGGUAUCUCAAAAGGAAAUGUGGCAGCUAUAAUUCCAGUUGUCUCUGUGCUCAAUGGACAGACAACUCUAUAACGUUUUUAAAUCCAUUUUCAUGCUGUUCACUGCUAUACUUAAAAUGUAACCCAAAGAAAUAAAAUUCAUUUUGAAAUAUUUUCAAUAGUCGAGUCUCAAAUGGGGCAGAGUUCAAAAUCCACAGCGAUUUGUACGGAUUUGAAUAGAUUCAUGCGUUGGCAACAUGGACAACGACUGACGAGGUUUGGCCUAUAACCCGGGACGGGACUGAUAAGUCGCUGGGGCUAAUUACAAACAAUAUAACUCGUAAGUACGAGUAUUCGUUAGCUGUUGAAUGUCAAACUGUGUCAAAUGCCACAUAAAAAUGUUGAAAAAUGAAAAUGUUGUUAUAAACAGCAAUGCAUUAAAUAAUCACUAUGAUAACCCCAAGACAUCGACUUUAUGUGAUGGUUGUUAUUGUUGUUGUUGUUGUUGCGGUGGUGCUGAUAUUUCGAAACAAACUAAAACUCAAAAUUAAAGCUGUCGCUUCAACUGAUAAUCUUGCCAAUACAAACAGAAAUCUUUAUUUUUAAUGCCCUAUUAAAAUAGAACUCUCGAACUUCUAGCGGCAAGACAACAGCAAACAAAACCACAAAAACCAAAUCGCUUAUCAGCUACAAAAGCAGCCACAACAACAACAACAUAAACAAAAACAACAGCGUUGAUAAGGCAGCUGAAAAUGUAAAACUGUUAUGACAACGUGUCAGAGUUCAACUUGGAAGUAGAUCCCUCUCUUUCGCUUAUCAAGGGGUCAGCAACGAAUUGAGCUCAUUUGGCUAUAAUAAAGUGGAACGAAGCUCUCAAAUCCGUCUGAUAAUGAGUAUUGGAAAAAAAAUCGAAUUCUAUUCAAUGACAGUGCAAAUGACUCGUUAUAUUCCAAUUGUGAGUUGAAGUAAUAUAUGUAAAAAAUAAUUAAUUAUGAAUAUAGCUAAAAUAUUUAUUAAAUUGUUGCUUGGGGAAAUACACUUGGUAU